RNAcentral lists this ribosomal RNA (468 nucleotides) under uncultured bacterium. Its description in RNAcentral is "partial 16S ribosomal RNA". It matches the Rfam family "Bacterial small subunit ribosomal RNA", at positions 28 to 507 of the family's 1533-position model. The record is from RNAcentral.
GACGAACGCUGGCGGCGUGCUUAACACAUGCAAGUCGAACGGAAAGGCCCUGCUUUUGUGGGGUUCUCGAGUGGCGAACGGGUGAGUAACACGUGAGUAACCUGCCCUUGACUUUGGGAUAACUUCAGGAAACUGGGGCUAAUACCGGAUAUGAGCUCCUGCUGCAUGGUGGGGGUUGGAAAGUUUCGGCGGUUGGGGAUGGACUCGCGGCUUAUCAGCUUGUUGGUGUGGUAGUGACUUACCAAGGCUUUGACGGGUAGCCGGCCUGGGAGGGUGACCGGCCACAUGGGUACUGCGAGAGGGCGCAGUCUGGUAUGGGAGGCAGUAGUGGGGAGUCUUGCGGAGUGGGCCGAAGCCUGUUGUAGCAACGCCGCGUGCGGAAUGCUGGGUUUCGGGGUGUAAACCGAUUUGGAAGGUGACGAAGCGAGAGUGACGGUAAUGGGUCAAGAAGCACCGGCUAACUACGUG